This 238-nucleotide ribosomal RNA is filed under the name uncultured soil bacterium. Its description in RNAcentral is "partial 16S ribosomal RNA". It matches the Rfam family "Bacterial small subunit ribosomal RNA", at positions 26 to 292 of the family's 1533-position model. The record is from RNAcentral.
AGAACGAACGCUGGCGGCAUGCCUAAUACAUGCAAGUCGAACGAACACUUCGGUGUUAGUGGCGCACGGGUGCGUAACGCGUGGGAAUCUGCCCUUGGGUUCGGAAUAACAGUUGGAAACGACUGCUAAUACCGGAUGAUAUCGAAAGAUCAAAGAUUUAUCGCCCAGGGAUGAGCCCGCGUAGGAUUAGCUAGUUGGUGAGGUAAAGGCUCACCAAGGCGACGAUCCGUAACUGGUC